UGCUGGUGAGACCACCACUGAUAUCCAGAGCUCCACAGGUGAGGACGAGCAUGAGGGUGUUCCGGUUACAUGGGCAUGUCCUGCUCCCUGCCUCUCCUCAUCACACCCCGCUGCCUUCACACCCUCUGUCCCCCAGCUCCACAUGCCCGGAUUCUGCACACCCUCCCCACAGCCACGGUGCUGGCAGUGGCGGCCGUUGGCCUCGUCCUCCUGGCUGCAGGCAGCUGGUUUGCCAUCAGGAAAGGUGCGUGCAGAGGGAGAUGCCCAAGGCAGCAGCACGUUGACAGACCACAGACCGAAGACACCAACUAUGGUGACAUCCAGUGUGAGUACUACCUCCUCCCCUGGGGGAAGCCACAUGCUCCUCUCCACAUGAGAAUCCUCUGUAAGUCCCCAUGGAAUCCUACAACUUCAUUUCCCACUGGGACAUACAAAAUCCCUGCUCGUUCAUCAAGGGACAGGUUUCUCUCCAGCACCUCACAUCCUGCUUCUUCCUUGCAUGAACAUUGCGUGUGGGCUGCUGGCUGCACAAGGGACAUGGCAGUAUCCCAGUGCUCAUAGGGACAAAGCCCAUUUGCCUGGGGGGUCCUUCCACAGCUGCUGCAGCCCCAGGCUUCAAUUCCCCUGCUUCAGCCUCUGCUUUUGUCAUUUCUUCAGUUUUCCUACAAAGCGAUUUCUGUUUUCAUGUGGUUGAAAAGACACGGCAGCGAUAAAAGAUCUGGCUCUCUUUCCUUGUUUUUCAGGGGAAAACAUUGUAUAAUUUUCUUUGAUACCACAGAGAGCAGGCAAGGGAGGAUGUUGUGGUUGGGUGACAGGCUAUAAAUAUAUCCCCACCCUAUUUGCACCUCGCUCAAGUUGCAGCACGACCUUGUUUACCCACGCUUGCACAAAGCAGCUCACAAGGUGUGCUGGCUGUGCAAAGAGAGGAGAUGCCACAGAAAGCUGGAAAUACACCAAAACCUCAGCAUCUCUGCUCCACUGCUGCUUAAUGCUCAACCCAGAGCAGGAUGAUAGGAGGGGAAAUGUGGUCAGGUGUUGAGAGCUGACCACAGGCAGCUGCUGCCCAAGGUCAGGGUGAGUUUC
RNAcentral lists this long non-coding RNA (1083 nucleotides) under Anas platyrhynchos platyrhynchos (common mallard). RNAcentral's name for it is "lncRNA (ENSAPLG00000018667.1)". Lineage: Eukaryota; Metazoa; Chordata; Aves; Anseriformes; Anatidae. The record is from RNAcentral.